RNAcentral lists this unclassified non-coding RNA (389 nucleotides) under soil metagenome. RNAcentral describes it as "partial contains 5.8S ribosomal RNA, internal transcribed spacer 2, and large subunit ribosomal RNA". The stretch from base 1 to 122 matches the Rfam family "5.8S ribosomal RNA", at positions 35 to 154 of the family's 154-position model. The record is from RNAcentral.
GAUGAAGAACGUAGCGAAAUGCGAUACUUGGUGUGAAUUGCAGAAUCCCGCGAAUCAUCGAGUUUUUGAACGCAAGUUGCGCCCGAAGCCAUUCGGCCGAGGGCACGUCUGCCUGGGUGUCACGCAUCGUUGCCCCCCCAAACUCCGGUUCGGGCGGGGCGGAAGUUGGCCUCCCGUGCGUGCCUGCGCGCGCGGUUAGCCCAAAAGCGAGUCCUCGGCGACGAGCGCCACGACAAUCGGUGGUUUUUUUACCCUCGUUCCUCGUCGUGCGUGUCCCGUCGCCCGAACGCGCUCUUGCGACCCUCACGCGUCGCCUCGGCGGCGCUCCCAACGCGACCCCAGGUCAGGCGGGACUACCCGCUGAGUUUAAGCAUAUCAAUAAGCGGAGG